AUGGGAGCCAGGAGCGACCAUAGCGCCAUAGCGGCACGGUGGGAUGGCAGCUUGUGGCGGCGGCGGUGCUCUACCUCGGCUCCAACGCCGCCUGUUACCCUGCGGGACAUGAGGCUUCAGUUCAGUAGCUCCAUGGAAAAGGAAAAAAAGAAGAGAUUAGAGAGUGGCGAUUUUCAUAAUGGUAGAACUGAAGAGGAUGGCGCGGAGGAUGAUCAUCGUGCAGCACGAACAGAACUCAAAGAUCGGAUUGUGUUGUUCCCCUCAAGAUCGACCUUUGUUUUGUGUGUGCUUGAUGCCCAUGGUGUGUCUUGUUGGCCUGGCCACCUGGUGCUCCCCUUUGCCGGCUUUCCUUGCUCCUGUUUCCAUGUGUACGUAUAG
RNAcentral lists this ribosomal RNA (378 nucleotides) under Triticum aestivum (bread wheat). RNAcentral's name for it is "partial small subunit ribosomal RNA". The record is from RNAcentral. Lineage: Eukaryota; Viridiplantae; Streptophyta; Magnoliopsida; Poales; Poaceae.